AUUAAUAGCUGCAGCUAGUUUUCAUUCCAUGUUCAAAAUAAAAGUAUAAUGUAUGAGAGUGCUGGCAAUAAUAAAUGGUGUUUUUGUUUUAGAGCAAUUAAUUGCAUAAUUGAUUGCAUAAAUGCAUAAAUCAGAGUCGGUAACAAACAAUAACAGAUGCGAGCACAAUAACAAAUCGUCAUAUUAGAAGUACAAUAAGUUUUUUUAUAUUAUAUCCAAUGGGUUAGUUGCAUGGUGCCGUCGUGUGUUCUUUGAGUGUCCAUCACGCUCAUUUGGCGCACCAGACGCUUCAUGGAAGGUCGAUGCACUGGACGACUGCCAAUGCCACUCCCACUGCUUCCCAAAUCCAGAGGAGUUCGCUCAUCGAUGCGAGGCUUUUGACGCAAACGACGAUUGUCUUUUAGCUCCAGUUCCACCUCAGACUCGUUGUUGGAUGAGCCACCCAAGACAUCCAAGUUCUCAUACGAAGUUGGUGGCGAAAGGAUUUCUCUGGGAAUUAAUAACAUCAUUCGAUACUCAAUUAAUCCCAUCAGAUACUUACGGCUGUGGCUUGCAACGACAGCAAUCUUUAAGCUGCCAGUUCUUGCCGAACUCUUCGCCCUCCUCAAUGGUCUGCGGCAGGCGAUGAUGCAACGUCUCCGGCAAACGUGACAAACGGUAUCACAAUCAAUCCCAGGCCACCAAUAUAACUGGAGGCCCCGAUGCCAAUGCCACGCACCUGCGUCGGAUAUAACUCGCCAGCAAAGGGAUAAAUGAUGAGAAACGAGGCCGAGAGAAGAGCCUUGGAG
Drosophila sulfurigaster albostrigata is the source of this 788-nucleotide long non-coding RNA. RefSeq lists it as uncharacterized. The transcript is spliced from 3 exons. The record is from RefSeq and is a predicted model, not a curated record. Lineage: Eukaryota; Metazoa; Arthropoda; Insecta; Diptera; Drosophilidae.